RNAcentral lists this ribosomal RNA (428 nucleotides) under Actinomycetes bacterium. RNAcentral describes it as "Actinobacteria bacterium partial 16S ribosomal RNA". It matches the Rfam family "Bacterial small subunit ribosomal RNA", at positions 355 to 776 of the family's 1533-position model. The record is from RNAcentral. Lineage: Bacteria; Bacillati; Actinomycetota; Actinomycetes.
UAGGGAAUCUUCCGCAAUGGGCGAAAGCCUGACGGAGCAACGCCGCGUGAGUGAUGAAGGUCUUCGGAUCGUAAAACUCUGUUAUUAGGGAAGAACAAAUGUGUAAGUAACUAUGCACGUCUUGACGGUACCUAAUCAGAAAGCCACGGCUAACUACGUGCCAGCAGCCGCGGUAAUACGUAGGUGGCAAGCGUUAUCCGGAAUUAUUGGGCGUAAAGCGCGCGUAGGCGGUUUUUUAAGUCUGAUGUGAAAGCCCACGGCUCAACCGUGGAGGGUCAUUGGAAACUGGAAAACUUGAGUGCAGAAGAGGAAAGUGGAAUUCCAUGUGUAGCGGUGAAAUGCGCAGAGAUAUGGAGGAACACCAGUGGCGAAGGCGACUUUCUGGUCUGUAACUGACGCUGAUGUGCGAAAGCGUGGGAUCAAACAGG